RNAcentral lists this ribosomal RNA (817 nucleotides) under uncultured bacterium. Its description in RNAcentral is "bacterial SSU rRNA". It matches the Rfam family "Bacterial small subunit ribosomal RNA", at positions 8 to 853 of the family's 1533-position model. The record is from RNAcentral.
AGAGUUUGAUCAUGGCUCAGGAUGAACGCUGGCGGCGUGCCUAACACAUGCAAGUCGAGCGAUCUUCUUCGGAAGAGAGCGGCGGACGGGUGAGUAACGCGUGGGUAACCUGCCUCAUACACAUGGAUAACAUACCGAAAGGUAUGCUAAUACAAGAUGAUAUAAGAGAUUCGCAUGGAUUUCUUAUCAAAGCUCCGGCGGUAUGAGAUGGACCCGCGUCUGAUUAGCUAGUUGGUAAGGUAACGGCUUACCAAGGCGACGAUCAGUAGCCGACCUGAGAGGGUGAUCGGCCACAUUGGAACUGAGACACGGUCCAAACUCCUACGGGAGGCAGCAGUGGGGAAUAUUGCACAAUGGGCGAAAGCCUGAUGCAGCAACGCCGCGUGAGCGAUGAAGGCCUUCGGGUCGUAAAGCUCUGUCCUCAAGGAAGAUAAUGACGGUACUUGAGGAGGAAGCCCCGGCUAACUACGUGCCAGCAGCCGCGGUCAAUACGUAGGGGGCUAGCGUUAUCCGGAUUUACUGGGCGUAAAGGGUGCGUAGGUGGUUUCUUAAGUCAGGAGUGAAAGGCUACGGCUCAACCGUAGUAAGCUCUUGAAACUGGGAAACUUGAGUGCAGGAGAGGAAAGUGGAAUUCCUAGUGUAGCGGUGAAAUGCGUAGAUAUUAGGAGGAACACCAGUAGCGAAGGCGGCUUUCUGGACUGUAACUGACACUGAGGCACGAAAGCGUGGGGAGCAAACAGGAUUAGAUACCCUGGUAGUCCACGCCGUAAACGAUGAGUACUAGGUGUCGGGGGUUACCCCCCUCGGUGCCGCAGCU